Molecule: ribosomal RNA, 837 nt
Filed under: human gut metagenome
Description: bacterial SSU rRNA
Rfam family: Bacterial small subunit ribosomal RNA
Source: RNAcentral
AGAGUUUGAUCCUGGCUCAGGAUGAACGCUAGCGACAGGCUUAACACAUGCAAGUCGAGGGGCAUCAUGAGGUAGCAAUACCUUGAUGGCGACCGGCGCACGGGUGAGUAACGCGUAUGCAACCUGCCGAUGACUCGGGGAUAGCCCAUGGAAACGUGGAUUAACACCCCAUAGUACUUUUAUCCUGCAUGGGAUGUGAGUUAAAUGUUUAAGGUAUCGGAUGGGCAUGCGUCCUAUUAGUUAGUUGGCGGGGUAACAGCCCACCAAGACGAUGAUAGGUAGGGGUUCUGAGAGGAAGGUCCCCCACAUUGGAACUGAGACACGGUCCAAACUCCUACGGGAGGCAGCAGUGAGGAAUAUUGGUCAAUGGACGAGAGUCUGAACCAGCCAAGUCGCGUGAGGGAAGACUGCCCUAUGGGUUGUAAACCUCUUUUAUAAGGGAAGAAUAAGUUCUACGUGUAGAAUGAUGCCUGUACCUUAUGAAUAAGCAUCGGCUAACUCCGUGCCAGCAGCCGCGGUAAUACGGAGGAUGCGAGCGUUAUCCGGAUUUAUUGGGUUUAAAGGGUGCGUAGGCGGUUUAUUAAGUUAGUGGUUAAAUAUUUGAGCUAAACUCAAUUGUGCCAUUAAUACUGGUAAACUGGAGUACAGACGAGGUAGGCGGAAUAAGUUAAGUAGCGGUGAAAUGCAUAGAUAUAACUUAGAACUCCGAUAGCGAAGGCAGCUUACCAGACUGUAACUGACGCUGAUGCACGAGAGCGUGGGUAGCGAACAGGAUUAGAUACCCUGGUAGUCCACGCCGUAAACGAUGAUCACUGGUUCUGUGCGAUAUAUUGUACG